UUUUCAUUCAAAUGCGCCUUCGAAAAUCAGUAAAAGUCUCUUGAUUUAGAAUCUUAUUCAGGAAAGAUUUUUUAAAAUACGACUGUACUACUAUUAAGUCAUUGAAAUAAAAUUAAUGGUACCAAAGAAAAUGCAGAAAACGAAGAUCAAUUAUCAUAGAGCCAAGGCAUGAAACACUUGAUAAUAAACCUCAGUUUCCAACAUUGAAAACCAACCCCUCAUAUUGUUACAAUAACUGUGUCUGUGAAGAGGUGCAAAAUACAAACCGCAAUAAACUCAACCUUACAGAUGGAGACACAAAGGCUAAUAGUGAUAGAUAACACCAAAUGAAAACAAGAAAAAGUACCCUACAGAAAGCAGAUAAAAGGCCGUUCUAUAACAAUUCUCUCUUCACGAUUCUCAUUUGUUUCUUCUUCUUAUCGCACUAUCCUGUCAUGAUCUUAAAUAUCCUAACUAAAUUAUCCGAGUCAUCCUUAGCUGAGUAGGUUCAAGGUCAAAUUCCUUAAGCAAUUUCUUCUUCAGACAAUUCAACCAACUGCAGUUUAGCAAAAUCACGUCACCGAGCACAGCACCUCUCAUUGAUUACAGUAUGCUCUUAUCUCCUCCUCUGUUGGAAUUUUAUGAUUUCCUUGAGAGUCCAUCUAUUAAACUUAAUUUUAAUUCGUAAUUGACUCAAACCAUUACGAUAUCAUAUUUGUCUUGUUUAGAUUACAA
This 714-nucleotide long non-coding RNA is filed under the name Olea europaea subsp. europaea. The record is from RNAcentral. Lineage: Eukaryota; Viridiplantae; Streptophyta; Magnoliopsida; Lamiales; Oleaceae.